This 161-nucleotide unclassified non-coding RNA is filed under the name uncultured Coniosporium. RNAcentral describes it as "sequence contains ITS2". Lineage: Eukaryota; Fungi; Ascomycota. The record is from RNAcentral.
CAACCCUCAAGCUCUGCUUGGUAUUGGGCGUCGCCGGCCUCGCCGGCGUGCCUCAAAGACAUCGGCGACGGUGUCCUGGCUUCAAGCGUGGUAAAUUAUCAUUCGCUUUGGAGGCUGGAGCAUCGUCCGCCGGCAAAACCGGGCUCGCGCCCACUUUCUCA